This is a long non-coding RNA of Vigna unguiculata (cowpea), 1928 nucleotides long. NCBI's taxonomy places the organism in Eukaryota, Viridiplantae, Streptophyta, Magnoliopsida, Fabales, Fabaceae. The record is from RefSeq and is a predicted model, not a curated record.
GGUACUGGUUUCUUGUAUUCGUCAUAUGAAUUUGGGGUUUGAGUUUUAUUUUAGGCUAUUCGGUUUUCUUGGUUUUGCUUCGUUGAUUUGGUUUUGUAUUGUUUCGUUGAUUUGGUUUUCUUAGUAUUUCUUCGAGGUUUUCUAGUUAUUGCUUCGUUGAUUUGUUGAUUUGGUUUUCUUAGUAUUUCUUCGGCGAUUCGAUUUUGUUGGUUUUGUUUCGGUGGUGAUUGAUGUGCUUCUUAUUACUUUAUUUUUUGAUGAAGUUUGUGUAGGGUUAUGGCGAAUUAUAUUAUGUUUUGCCAUCAUCGAUGGAUGAGGUGGUUUUGUCUGAUUGAAGAUCUCUGGAUUUAAUACCAAUUCUAUUUAUAAUAUUUUAUUCGACGGGGAGAGAAGACGGGCAAUGGAUGUCUGUGAAGUAUUAGGUUUUGUCACCCUUACAUCUUUUUUCACAUUGGUGUUUGUUGGUAUUUAUGUUGUUCCUUUUCAGCAAGUUCUGGAGUCUAUGACAUCUCUUUUGGCGGUUGAGUAUUUAGAGUUUGGUUGUUUGUUGUCAUAUGAAAUUGUUGUUUUGCUGGUAUUUGUGUUUAUUCCUUUUUCAGCUCGGAGUUUGAGACCUCUUUUAGCGGUUGAGGAUUUAUAGAUCAAGCUUAUAACGGUUUAGGAUAUCAUGAUAUCAUGGCUUGUCGAUGAGUUUCCUUUCUAUUAUUUAACUUUUCUGAACUUGAUCACCAAACAUGGCUUGAAUUGUGAAUUGUUGCUCUGCAGCGGUGUUUGGAUUAUUUUCAUUUAGUGUCGUGCAUCUCUUUGAGGUUGUUGUGAGCAUCUCUUGGACCAUGUUAUCAGCGACUCCCCUCAGUUUUUAAUUCCUAAAUUGAUCUAUUGUUCUGUUCUUCGUUCGUUUUAUAUUCUUAAAUAUCGUCUGCUAUUACAGUUAUAGAUUUGUUGUAUCGUUGUUCUUUACAGAGAUGUGUGGGGUAGGAUCGUGGAAAACAGUGGCAGAAGAUUCCUUGAACUGUGAAGCUUUAGUUCUUCUUUUACUCUUAAAUUAAUUUUUUCUUUUGCAUUUCAACUUGCUAGUUUGAUAUUUAUUUUCUUGGGCAUUACUAAAUUUACAGCGGAGGGUCAAAGAAUGUGCGGUUGUGAUCAUGACCACUAAUUGAUUAUGAUCUCUUGGCAGUCUUUAGGUUUCCGUCACCCUUACAUUAUUUGAUGCGUUUAUUUUUAAUGACGUAUAUAUCUUUGAUUUCGUAGUUUGUGUUCAUUUUUCUUUUAUCAUGUUCAUAUUGUUUGUAGAUUUGAAAUCACGUUUUAAUUGGCCAACAUUUUAGGAUAACUUGAUUUCUUCUUAAUUCUCUCUAUUUGAUUUUCUAACCAUGAUACAUACAUUAUCAUUUGCCAUUUGUUUCUUUGUAGUGGUGUUUGGAGUAUGUUUCAUUAUCUCAUCUAUCAUUUUGAGAGGAUGAUGUCUCCUUGUGAUUGUGUUUUUUUGUUUUGGUUUUGUCUAUGUACUUUCUUUUGAGUGAAAUCUAUCAAAUCUAACUGUUUGAUCUGUGAAUUAUGUUUAUUUCUUUUCAGCCCAUUAACGUUUGAGGAUUACAAAAUAAUACAAUGUUCAGGGCAGUAUAAUUUAUUCGACGAGUUUACUUUCCGUUAUUUAUUCGGACUUGAUCAUCAAAGUAAGAUUCACUUGCGUUAUGUUUCUAAUUGGAGUGACGUUUCUCCCUGGUCUGUGAUAUUUUGAGUGCAACAUUUCUCUCAUCCCAUUGUAGGAUUUUUUUUUAUAUUUUUUUCCUUCUUUGAAAAAUAAAUUCUAUAUUGUUCUGUUUUUAGAUGGAUAGAUGUAAGUGGGUUAUUGAAUUAUUCAUUUUCUAAAAUAGACUGUAACUUGUUUUAUCUGUUUAGAAUUUAAUCGGCACGAUUUCUGGGAA